CACCAUUCCUCUUCCAAUUCUACGUAAUUGAAGAUGAAGUCUCAGCUGCAAAAUCCCAAAUCCUUCUCUGUCUUCCCAACAUCCUCCAUUAACCCUAAUUAUCUUACGAGGCAUGCCAACCCCUCUCACAUCAAACUCCUUCCACGCCACUAUGUGCCUAUCGAACAUAAUAAGGAAAGGUCCUCAAUUAUGGUACGUGCUAAUUCUAAUGAACUCAGGCCUUCAUCAGCAUCCGCGGUCGCAUUAACAGAGAUUAAGGCAGUAACCAUAAGGGCUGUGGUUACAGUCCAGAUAAGUGUUGGUAACUUCAUCUCCACCAUAGGCUUGACUCGGCCCCUCGAUGACCUUGCCGAUGUGUUCGGCGGAACCAUGCUUUUGGAGCUUCUUAGCGCCGAGCUUGACUCCAGACCACACACCUACACCCAUAUCAUCUUCUCCUGUGCUCUCUCUAUUGUAGACUCUCUCUCUCUCCUUCUCACUUGUACGGACGAGACUCAAAACCCUUGCAAACGUAACGGAUCGAAGUGGAAAAUGGUACCUUUGUGUUCGUGAUGAUCAUACGAGUUUAACCAUACCAAUUUCAGGGAAUUUGAAGCUUAUAGGAAGCUUAGGGAGGUCCUUAGGAAGCUCAGGGUGGUUCGUUGGGUGGAAUUGGACGUCGAGAAAGCUAGUUUUGAAAUUGGUCAGUUUUUCUCGAAUUUUUCCGGCUAGAUCUUGUGAUCUUUGAGGUUUCAAACAGGUAUACCGUUGUUCUACUCAUCUCCAGCUUUCCAUUGGUGCAAGUUUCAUAGAAAUUGGUGAAGAAACGAGUGAGAACGAAGGGUUUAAAGUUUUUUCCAGGUUUCCGGCGACCGGCAACUCGCCGCAGAAGAAGACGGAAUAUUCCGUCAGUUAGGACGGAAUAUUCUGACGCCGUCAGUCAGAUUUAACGGAAUCCAUUAGGGUUUAACGGAAUAUUCCUGACGGGGUUAACUGAUGCCGUCAGUGUGACUGGCAUUUGGCCGCGAGUGGGGGGCGCGUAGGUCCGUGCACUUGCCGGAGCGUGGCGGCGCGUGGGGUCUCGAAAAAUUAUUUUAAAAAUAUGGGGAUGUUCGUGAGGUUGAGUAGAUCACGUUGGUUUAUCCAAACAUCCCAUUUGAGCAUUGUAUGAGAAGUUAUUACCUAGUUUUGGUUAUGUGCUUUAAA
Molecule: long non-coding RNA, 1185 nt
Organism: Pyrus x bretschneideri (Chinese white pear)
Lineage: Eukaryota; Viridiplantae; Streptophyta; Magnoliopsida; Rosales; Rosaceae
Exons: 3
Source: RefSeq, a predicted model, not a curated record